RNAcentral lists this unclassified non-coding RNA (345 nucleotides) under soil metagenome. RNAcentral describes it as "partial contains 5.8S ribosomal RNA, internal transcribed spacer 2, and large subunit ribosomal RNA". The stretch from base 1 to 119 matches the Rfam family "5.8S ribosomal RNA", at positions 35 to 154 of the family's 154-position model. The record is from RNAcentral.
GAUGAGGAACGCAGCGAAAUGCGAUACGUAAUGUGAAUUGCAAAUUCAGUGAAUCAUCGAGUCUUUGAACGCACAUUGCGCCCCCUGGUAUUCCGGGGGGCAUGCCUGUCCGAGCGUCAUUGCUGCCCUCAAGCACGGCUUGUGUGUUGGGCCCCGUCCUCCGAUCCCGGGGGACGGGCCCGAAAGGCAGCGGCGGCACCGCGUCCGGUCCUCGAGCGUAUGGGGCUUUGUCACCCGCUCUGUAGGCCCGGCCGGCGCUUGCCGAUCAACCCAAAUUUUUAUCCAGGUUGACCUCGGAUCAGGUAGGGAUACCCGCUGAACUUAAGCAUAUCAAUAAGCGGAGGA